AUGUUAGCUCAGGGCUAAUCUUCCUAAAAAAAAAAAAAAAAUCCCCAGCAUUAUCAAUUUUUAUAACUAAAUUUCAUACUUGCUCAUUAACAUGGCCUUUAUUAAACCUUAGACAUCCUAACCCACAACACAAACAUCUGGGAAUAGGCUAUUUAUGGACUAUUUAAAAUAUAUUUCUCUGUGAUUUCUACUUGAUCUUUUACAAGAUAACAGAGGAAAUACAUCUGACAUCUCUGCUUAGUUUUAUUUAUCUGAUGUUGCUAAGAUGGUAAACCACAUUUCAAAGAAUUGCACGACAUCAUUCAAAUCUUUUUUUAAUAGAUGUUCGCAGUAAUGAACUCUACAUUGCUAAUAUUUCCAGGCUACAGGGAAACAUUUAAUUUUUAGCUUAUUGUCCUUCUGCAGUAGGCAACUGUAUUUGUAAGUCAGAAAAACACCUAAACAUGGGAAGAGGCAAGUAUCAAACAAAUCAAGUCAUCAACUAUUUACAGAGUAAGUCCUAACAUGCAACGUUGCACCAGUUGUUAGAAACUGUGGGGACGCAAAGAAAGAUAUGAUUCUUUAGUGAAGGGACUUGGAAUUUGAAGAAUGGAGUUUCAUAAACUGGAAAAAAUUAAACAACACCGCCUAACACUUGCAGUUCCUCAGAUUUCACAUGUAUACGCACAUGUGCAUAUGCACACAAUACGCACCAUGAUCAAUAUUACUUUUUUAUUAUAAACUACUUAGAUUUCUUCACUUUCAUCACCAGAACUUGCAUUAGGCUUUCUUAAUGGAGUAAUUUUUCAAAAGAAGUUUUAAAAAUCACUUUACAAGAAUUAUACUGUAGUAUACGGUUUUGAGUAGAAAAUAAAGCUGCAUUGAAACUCUAAAUAGUCUGUUUGGCUCACUCCCUAGGUAAGUGAUUUAUUCCUAGCCACCUGCCUCGUAGCUUCUGGCAUUCAGAAUUCAUGCUUUUGCAAAAGUGCAAAUUACUAUAUCAUGAAUCUCUUGGCAUCUUUUACAAAUAUUCAAAAUCAUAAAUGUAAAAUAAGAAUGUAAAUUGCUUAGUAUAGGCUAGCGGUCUCUAAAUUUUUUUAUGCAAACGCAUUUCAGCAUGCUUUUAAGCAUAUGCCCAAUUAUACAGAUAUUUACUAACUUAUAAAACAUAUAUACCAUUGUAGAAUUAUUAUACUAUAAAACAGAAAAAAUAGAUAUUUAAAAGAUAAAAUAUAAAUAGAAGUUUUAAUAAGUAGGUGUGUGUAUAUAUAUAUUUUUUACCCUUUCUCCAACAGAUCAUCUUGUACAUCCCCAAUCGGAGUGUAAUUGCUGGUGAAAUAUAGAGAAAGGAAAGAUCAGUCUGGGCUAGUAUUUGGAAAGGCAACAAGUAGCAGGUGAGAUCUUAGAGUUUAGAUGAGUGAAGAGGAAGGGGAGUUGGGGUUGUCCCCUUUAAGGAGAGGAAAAGGCAAGCGUAUAAAAAGAAAUGACAAGAGGUGAUGAAAAAGAAUACCUUCACCUUUUCCCUUCUCAAGAGAAAUAUUUUUUGAUUUUGAAAUUUAAGGGGUUUUUUUCCUGGUACCGUGGCCAGAAUAUCUGGGGUGGCCAGAAUAUCUGGGGUGAAGAGAGUUAAAUGUAGUUUAUAAGAAUCACAUUCUCUUAAAUAAUAACCAGUGAAGGGGAAGGGCCUUGGGCACUCUUAUACAAUGCUGGUGAGAAUUGGAAUAGUAGUAAUAGUCCUGAAAUGACUCUGAGAAUACAAAUCAAAAACCCUAUAAGUGUGCACACCCUUGACACUUUAUCCAAAGGAAACAAUCAUCUGUACCUACGAGACCUAGCUACAGGGAGGGUUUAUGACAGGUUAUUUCUAACAGAAAAGUACUGGAAACAAUCUAAAUUCCAAAAAAGAAAAAUAGAAUAUUGGUUAAAUAAACAAGACAUAUAUGUGCAUAUGGGAGAAUGCUCUGCCAUUUAAAAAGAUAUAAGAGAACAUUUAAUGAUGUGGAAAGCUGUUUUAGUGGACAUUAAUUGUUUUUUGCCUAUCCAGGAUUCCUUCUUAUGGGAACAGACCCAUCUCUACCUUUUGGGAAACCACACAUUCCCUGCCUCAGUCCAUAUGGCUUGGGUGGAGUUGAUCCUCCCACUGGGGAGAGGCUAGAAUGCAGAAGGGGAGCUGAGCAGACUUUGACCAUAAAGAAAGGAUAACACCCUACAGGAUGGAGUAACAAUUUGGAAGGAAUCUGGGUCUCUGAGUGAACUUGAGAAGCAGACCUACCUAUCUGCCCUGGACCAUUUGCCCAUUUGUUAGCUGAUAAAGAUAUAAACUUCUCUUAUUUUAGCCACCAUA
Non-coding RNA from Equus caballus (horse), 2323 nucleotides. The record is from RefSeq and is a predicted model, not a curated record. Lineage: Eukaryota; Metazoa; Chordata; Mammalia; Perissodactyla; Equidae.